RNAcentral lists this ribosomal RNA (650 nucleotides) under Calathus simplicicollis. RNAcentral describes it as "eukaryotic LSU rRNA". It matches the Rfam family "Eukaryotic large subunit ribosomal RNA", at positions 406 to 777 of the family's 3401-position model. Lineage: Eukaryota; Metazoa; Arthropoda; Insecta; Coleoptera; Carabidae. The record is from RNAcentral.
UGUUCAGGGGUAAACCUGUGGUUCCCGAAAGUUCGAACGGGGAGAUUCAAUUGCCUCGCCGGUUAUGACCAUUUAACAGUGAUGUGUUUAUGAUAUAUAUUUGAGACAUUAUAUGGCGGUUGCGGGUUUAUUCUCGUAGCUGUUUCUGUAUAGUGCUCCACUGUUUUAUGAUAUAUAGUUUAUAGCCGGAGGCGUGCACUUCUCCCCUUGUAGGACGUCGUGACCCAUUGGAUUAUGUUGUCUAAGGCUUAUAAUGGAGACCGUGGCAUUAAGUUUCGGCUUUAAUGACCCGGACUUAUAAUGUCCCGACAUCUAUCCGAUGGUAUAAUUAUGAUGAUAGAUCGCUAUAAAUGUGAUAUGAGCGUUCAGAUCCAUAACAAAUUCUUAUUAUGAGAUAUAGUGGAAAUCGGAUUUAAUGCCGAUUCUACACAUAUGGUAUUGAUAGUUGUGGUAUUCUCGAACCGUUCUUUAUCAUCAGUCAACGGCGUUUAUGUUUUGGGUAAUUACAGGACCCGUCUUGAAACACGGACCAAGGAGUCUAGCAUGUGCGCAAGUCAUUGGGACUUUGUGAAACCUAAAGGCGUAAUGAAAGUGAAAUAUUUGUGAAUUUUCGUAAUUCACUGAAUUUAAGGGAAGAUGGGUAACGUUUU